Molecule: long non-coding RNA, 506 nt
Filed under: Nicotiana benthamiana
Lineage: Eukaryota; Viridiplantae; Streptophyta; Magnoliopsida; Solanales; Solanaceae
Description: long non-coding RNA (NBEN_LNC022256)
Source: RNAcentral
CUAUUUGGAAACAACCUCUCUACCCAAGAGUAGGGGUAAUGUCUGCGUACAUAAUAUAAUUUUACAAAUUUAUGUAUCCUCCAAAUAAUAUAAUUUUACAAAUUUAUGUAUCCUCCAAAUAUAGAGAUAAGCUUAAUUAAUUCGGAAAGAAUACUUCGUAUUGCUGAAAUAGUUUCUUAGGACAGUAUCUAGAACGACUUAAGUCAUUUUGUAUAUCUGCAAAUAAAUAAUUGCAUGUAUUGUUAUUACUUUUUUGUGUUAUUUUACGAUAAUCUAAAAAACUAUGACAAACAACACUGAUAUUGGAAAUACUACUGAACGCGACCUCCGCCACUCCAAUCCCAGUUGUACUGCUAUACGGCGGACCAUUUUCAGAUGAGUCAACAGCGGCAUCGUUGACCCAAUGACCAUUUUUCAUGUGAGUUUUUUUCCAAAAUUUCUGAAAGUUUGACUCAUUUUCGGUGAUUACAUCUCUCUAACAAAAUAAAUCAAAUUAUAUUAUAGAA